UACGAAGGGUGCUAGCGUUGUUCGGAAUCACUGGGCGUAAAGCGCGCGUAGGCGGCUUUUCAAGUCAGGGGUGAAAUCCUUGGGCUCAACCCAAGAAUUGCCUUUGAAACUGUAAAGCUGGAGUACUGGAGGGGAUAGCGGAAUUCCUAAUGUAGAGGUGAAAUUCGUAGAUAUUAGGAGGAACACCGGUGGCGAAGGCGGCUAUCUGGACAGUAACUGACGCUGAGGCGCGAAAGCGCGGGGAUCAAACAGG
Molecule: ribosomal RNA, 253 nt
Filed under: uncultured bacterium
Lineage: Bacteria
Description: partial 16S ribosomal RNA
Rfam family: Bacterial small subunit ribosomal RNA
Source: RNAcentral